UGGGGAAUAUUGCACAAUGGGCGAAAGCCUGAUGCAGCGACGCCGCGUGAGGGAUGACGGCCUUCGGGUUGUAAACCUCUUUCAGCAGGGAAGAAGCGAAAGUGACGGUACCUGCAGAAGAAGCACCGGCUAACUACGUGCCAGCAGCCGCGGUAAUACGUAGGGUGCGAGCGUUGUCCGGAAUUAUUGGGCGUAAAGAGCUUGUAGGCGGUUUGUCGCGUCUGCCGUGAAAAUCCGGGGCUCAACCCCGGACUUGCGGCGGGUACGGGCAGACUAGAGUGUGGUAGGGGAGACUGGAAUUCCUGGUGUAGCGGUGAAAUGCGCAGAUAUCAGGAGGAACACCGAUGGCGAAGGCAGGUCUCUGGGCCACUACUGACGCUGAGAAGCGAAAGCGUGGGGAGCGAACAGGAUUAGAUACCCUGGUAGUCCACGCCGUAAACGUUGGGAACUAGGUGUGGGUCUCAUUCCACGAGAUCUGUGCCGCAGCUAACGCAUUAAGUUCCCCGCCUGGGGAGUACGGCCGCAAGGCUAAAACUUAAAUGAAUUGACGGGGUCAUAGCUGUUUCCU
This 568-nucleotide ribosomal RNA is filed under the name uncultured bacterium. Its description in RNAcentral is "partial 16S ribosomal RNA". It matches the Rfam family "Bacterial small subunit ribosomal RNA", at positions 355 to 1375 of the family's 1533-position model. The record is from RNAcentral.